AGGGAUAUAGCUCAGUGGUAGAGUACAGCUUGGCAUGCAUGAGGUCCUGGGUUCAAUCCCCAGUACCUCCA
Molecule: transfer RNA, 71 nt
Filed under: Camelus bactrianus (Bactrian camel)
Lineage: Eukaryota; Metazoa; Chordata; Mammalia; Artiodactyla; Camelidae
Also listed under: 2 other names
Rfam family: tRNA
About the family: Transfer RNA (tRNA) molecules are approximately 80 nucleotides in length. Their secondary structure includes four short double-helical elements and three loops (D, anti-codon, and T loops).
Source: Rfam by way of RNAcentral